RNAcentral lists this unclassified non-coding RNA (581 nucleotides) under Hevea brasiliensis (rubber tree). The record is from RNAcentral. Lineage: Eukaryota; Viridiplantae; Streptophyta; Magnoliopsida; Malpighiales; Euphorbiaceae.
GAGCGGAUCAACGUCUACUACAACGAGGCCAGCGGCGGCCGCUACGUGCCGCGCGCGGUGCUCAUGGAUCUGGAGCCGGGGACGAUGGACUCGGUGAGAUCCGGCCCAUUUGGGCGGAUCUUCAGGCCGGAUAAUUUCGUGUUCGGGCAGUCCGGUGCGGGGAAUAACUGGGCGAAGGGGCAUUACACCGAGGGGGCGGAGCUGAUUGAUGCGGUGAUGGAUGUUGUGAGGAAGGAGGCGGAGAAUUGCGACUGCUUGCAAGGUUUCCAAGUAUGCCAUUCUUUGGGAGGCGGCACUGGAUCCGGCAUGGGCACCCUUCUCAUAUCUAAAAUCAGAGAGGAGUACCCGGAUCGCAUGAUGAUGACGUUUUCUGUUUUCCCGUCACCCAAGGUUUCUGACACAGUUGUGGAGCCAUACAACGCUACCCUUUCGGUUCACCAGCUUGUUGAGAACGCAGACGAAUGUAUGGUCCUCGACAAUGAAGCUCUCUAUGACAUCUGUUUCCGCACUCUCAAGCUUGCCACCCCUACCUUUGGUGACCUUAAUCAUCUCAUCUCCGCCACCAUGAGUGGAGUGACAUG